AUGAGAAAGCCUGAGAUGUUUAACUGUUUGAAAGAACUCAAAAUGUCCAACUGCCCAAGAUGCAAGAGUAUACCUGUAGUAUGGCUCUCGGUCUCUCUAGAGAUUUUGUGCAUAGAGAAGAUGGAUAACUUGACCACAUUAUGUAAUAGCCUUGAUGUGGAAGGUGGAGGACACAUUACUCCUUUCCAAAAUUUUCCAAGGUUGAAGAGGAUGAGGUUGUUUGAGUUACCAAGCCCGGAGAUAUGGGCAGAAAAUAGUAUGGGAGUGCCUUGUGAUAACUUGCUAAAGUUCCCGAUGCUUGAAGUGCUAAGGAUAGAAAAUUGCCCCAAGCUUGCAAGUAUUCCAGUGAUCCCCAUUGUCUGGGAUUUGAGUAUAGUUGGAGUUCACGGUACUGCAGUCAGUUUGAUUUUUAUGAGUAUCCGUUUGGGCUCUUGGCCAUUUCUCAUCACGUUAACUCUUGAGUCUAAGGAAGACAUAGCCAUGUUGCUUCUAGACGCCCAGCAAAGCCAAAGUGAAAGACCUCUUGAAAAACUAGAGUAUUUGGCUCUAAGAGGCCGUAACAGCUUGGACACAAGGUCCGGAUUGUCCAGAUCACGCCUUAUGUCCAUGGAAAUGCUUUCAGUUUGUGGAAGAGUUGAUGAUUCGCGGAUGCAGUAA
RNAcentral lists this ribosomal RNA (657 nucleotides) under Triticum aestivum (bread wheat). Its description in RNAcentral is "partial small subunit ribosomal RNA". The record is from RNAcentral. Lineage: Eukaryota; Viridiplantae; Streptophyta; Magnoliopsida; Poales; Poaceae.